AUUGAACGCUGGCGGCAUGCUUUACACAUGCAAGUCGAACGGUAACAGGUUAAGCUGACGAGUGGCGAACGGGUGAGUAAUGCAUCGGAACGUGCCCGGUCGUGGGGGAUAACGCAGCGAAAGCUGCGCUAAUACCGCAUACGAUCUAAGGAUGAAAGCGGGGGACCGUAAGGCCUCGCGCGAUCGGAGCGGCGGAGGUCAGAUUAGGUAGUUGGUGGGGUAAAGGCUCACCAAGCCAACGAUCUGUAGCUGGUCUGAGAGGACGACCAGCCACACUGGGACUGAGACACGGCCCAGACUCCUACGGGAGGCGGCAGUGGGGAAUUUUGGACAAUGGGCGAAAGCCUGAUCCAGCAAUGCCGCGUGCAGGAAGAAGGCCUUCGGGUUGUAAACUGCUUUUGUACGGAGCGAAAAGGUCUCCUCUAAUACAGGGGGCUCAUGACGGUACCGUAAGAAUAAGCACCGGCUAACUACGUGCCAGCAGCCGCCGCCG
Molecule: ribosomal RNA, 493 nt
Filed under: uncultured bacterium
Lineage: Bacteria
Description: partial 16S ribosomal RNA
Rfam family: Bacterial small subunit ribosomal RNA
Source: RNAcentral